This 2024-nucleotide ribosomal RNA is filed under the name Listeria monocytogenes. Its description in RNAcentral is "partial 23S ribosomal RNA". It matches the Rfam family "Bacterial large subunit ribosomal RNA", at positions 907 to 2925 of the family's 2925-position model. Lineage: Bacteria; Bacillati; Bacillota; Bacilli; Caryophanales; Listeriaceae. The record is from RNAcentral.
GCACUGUUUGGACUAGGGGCCCUUCUCGGGUUACCGAAUUCAGAUAAACUCCGAAUGCCAUGUACUUAUACUCGGGAGUCAGACUGCGAGUGAUAAGAUCCGUAGUCGAAAGGGAAACAGCCCAGACCACCAGUUAAGGUCCCCAAAUAUAUGUUAAGUGGAAAAGGAUGUGGGGUUGCUUAGACAACCAGGAUGUUGGCUUAGAAGCAGCCACCAUUGAAAGAGUGCGUAAUAGCUCACUGGUCGAGUGACCCCGCGCCGAAAAUGUACCGGGGCUAAACAUAUUACCGAAACUGUGGAUGAACCUCUUUAGAGGUUCGUGGUAGGAGAGCGUUCUAAGGGCGGUGAAGUCAGACCGGAAGGACUGGUGGAGCGCUUAGAAGUGAGAAUGCCGGUAUGAGUAGCGAAAGAAGGGUGAGAAUCCCUUCCACCGAAUAUCUAAGGUUUCCUGAGGAAGGCUCGUCCGCUCAGGGUUAGUCGGGACCUAAGCCGAGGCCGAUAGGCGUAGGCGAUGGACAACAGGUAGAGAUUCCUGUACCAGUGCUAAUUGUUUAACCGAUGGGGUGACACAGAAGGAUAGGGAAUCGCACGAAUGGAAAUGUGCGUCCAAGCAGUGAGUGUGAGAAGUAGGCAAAUCCGCUUCUCGCGAAGCAUGAGCUGUGAUGGGGAAGGAAAUUAAGUACGGAAGUUCCUGAUUUCACGCUGUCAAGAAAAGCCUCUAGGAAGAGUAGUACUGCCCGUACCGCAAACCGACACAGGUAGAUGAGGAGAGAAUCCUAAGGUGAGCGAGAGAACUCUCGUUAAGGAACUCGGCAAAAUGACCCCGUAACUUCGGGAGAAGGGGUGCUCUAUUAGGGUGCAAGCCCGAGAGAGCCGCAGUGAAUAGGCCCAGGCGACUGUUUAGCAAAAACACAGGUCUCUGCAAAACCGUAAGGUGACGUAUAGGGGCUGACGCCUGCCCGGUGCUGGAAGGUUAAGAGGAGUGCUUAGCUUCGGCGAAGGUACGAAUUGAAGCCCCAGUAAACGGCGGCCGUAACUAUAACGGUCCUAAGGUAGCGAAAUUCCUUGUCGGGUAAGUUCCGACCCGCACGAAAGGCGCAACGAUCUGGGCACUGUCUCAACGAGAGACUCGGUGAAAUUAUAGUACCUGUGAAGAUGCAGGUUACCCGCGACAGGACGGAAAGACCCCGUGGAGCUUUACUGCAACCUGAUAUGGAAUGUUUGUACCGCUUGUACAGGAUAGGUAGGAGCCGAAGAGACGUGUGCGCUAGCAUACGAGGAGGCAAUGGUGGGAUACUACCCUGGCUGUAUGACCAUUCUAACCCGCCACGCUUAGCGCGUGGGGAGACAGUGUCAGGUGGGCAGUUUGACUGGGGCGGUCGCCUCCUAAAGAGUAACGGAGGCGCCCAAAGGUUCCCUCAGAAUGGAUGGAAAUCAUUCGCAGAGUGUAAAGGCACAAGGGAGCUUGACUGCGAGACUGACAAGUCGAGCAGGGACGAAAGUCGGGCUUAGUGAUCCGGUGGUUCCGCAUGGAAGGGCCAUCGCUCAACGGAUAAAAGCUACCCCGGGGAUAACAGGCUUAUCUCCCCCAAGAGUCCACAUCGACGGGGAGGUUUGGCACCUCGAUGUCGGCUCGUCGCAUCCUGGGGCUGUAGUCGGUCCCAAGGGUUGGGCUGUUCGCCCAUUAAAGCGGCACGCGAGCUGGGUUCAGAACGUCGUGAGACAGUUCGGUCCCUAUCCGUCGCGGGCGCAGGAAAUUUGAGAGGAGCUGUCCUUAGUACGAGAGGACCGGGAUGGACACACCGCUGGUGUACCAGUUGUUCCGCCAGGAGCAUCGCUGGGUAGCUAUGUGUGGCAGGGAUAAACGCUGAAAGCAUCUAAGCGUGAAGCCCCCCUCAAGAUGAGAUUUCCCAUUUCUUCGGAAAGUAAGAUCCCUGAAAGAUGAUCAGGUAGAUAGGUUUGGAGUGGAAGUGUAGCGAUACAUGGAGCGGACAAAUACUAAUCGAUCGAGGACUUAACCAAAA